Long non-coding RNA from Hippocampus comes (tiger tail seahorse), 285 nucleotides. RefSeq lists it as uncharacterized. The record is from RefSeq and is a predicted model, not a curated record. Lineage: Eukaryota; Metazoa; Chordata; Actinopteri; Syngnathiformes; Syngnathidae. The transcript is spliced from 2 exons.
UCGCAAGCCACUUGAACCUCAAGCACCGGCAAGCCUUUCACACCCGCCAGAUGACACCCGGCGGCACCCUGGCAACACGUCUACACCGCAGGGGGAGAAAAAAAAUGUUCGAGAUGGCAUCCAGAUCUUAAUAUUAGGACAGAUGUGAUGACCUUGGCGUCGUCCGGACUCCACUGAGCUCCGACGUUGACCCAACCGUGCGAAUGACGCCUAAAAGUGACGCGUCGCGGUGGACCGCAGCGCACUGAAACACGGCGACCGUUAAACAUAACAGACAUGACCUCC